AGAGUUUGAUCCUGGCCCAGAACGAACGCUGGCGGCACGCUUAAUACAUGCAAGUCGAACGAGAAAGUUCCCUUCGGGGGGCGAGUACAGUGGCGCACGGGUGAGUAACACGUGGGUGACCUAUCCUGUAGCGGGGGAUAACAGUUAGAAAUAGCUGCUAAUACCGCGUAAGCUGAGUAACUUUGAAAGGAACUCAGGAAAGACGGCCUCUACUUGUAAGCUGUCACUAUAGGAAGGGCCUGCGGACCAUUAGCUUGUUGGUAGGGUAAUGGCCUACCAAGGCGACGAUGGUUUGCCGGUCUGAGAGGACGAUCGGCCACACUGGAACUGAGACACGGUCCAGACUCCUACGGGAGGCAGCAGUAGGGAAUAUUGCGCAAUGGGUGAGAACCUGACGCAGCGAUGCCGCGUGAGUGAGGAAGGCCUUCGGGUUGUAAAGCUCUGUCCUAGGGGAAAAAUAUUGUAUUUAAAAAUAUUAGAUAUACUUGAUGGUACCUUAGAAGAAAGCACCGGCCAACUUCGUGCCAGCAGCCGCGGUAAUACGAAGGGUGCAAGCGUUGUUCGGAUUUAUUGGGCGUAAAGGGCGAGUAGGCGGAUUUAUAAGUCAGGUGUGAAAUCUCGGGGCCUAACCCCGAAACUGCGCCUGAAACUAUAGAUCUAGGAUGUCGUAGAGGGUAGGGGAAUUUCGCAUGUAGGAGUAAAAUCCGUAGAGAUGCGAAGGAACACCAGAGGCGAAGGCGCCUACCUGGACGAUGAUCGACGCUGAGGCGCGAAAGCGUGGGGAGCAAACAGGAUUAGAUACCCUGGUAGUCCACGCCGUAAACGAUGAGCACUAGUUAUAGGAGAGUUGAUUCUUCUGUGACGCAGCUAACGCAUUAAGUGCUCCGCCUGGGGAGUACGGUCGCAAGACUAAAACUCAAAGGAAUUGACGGGGGCCCGCACAAGCGGUGGAUUAUGUGGUUUAAUUCGAAACCACGCGAAGAACCUUACCUGGGCCUGAACUCCCACGAAUCCUUUAGAGAUAGAGGAGUGCCCUUCGGGGAAUGUGGUGAGAGGUGCUGCAUGGCUGUCGUCAGCUCGUGUUGUGAAAUGUUGGGUUAAGUCUCGCAACGAGCGGAACCCUUGUCUUUAGUUGCCAGCAUUAAGUUGGGCACUCUAAAGAGACCGCCGGGGUUAACCCGGAGGAAGGUGAGGAUGACGUCAAGUCCUCAUGGCCCUUAUGUCCAGGGCUACACACGUAAUACAAUGGUUGAUACAGAGGGAAGCAAACUCGCGAGAGCUAGCUAAUCUCAAAAAGUCAAUCUCAGUCCGGAUUGGAGUCUGCAACUCGACUCCAUGAAGUUGGAAUCGCUAGUAAUCGCAGAUCAGCAUGCUGCGGUGAAUACGUUCCCGGGCCUUGUACACACCGCCCGUCACACCAUGGGAGUUGAUCCCACCUGAAGUCGUGACCCUAACCAGCAAUGGAAGGGAGCGCCCACGGUGAGGUUGAUGACUGGGGUGAAGUCGAAACAAGGUA
This 1516-nucleotide ribosomal RNA is filed under the name metagenome. Its description in RNAcentral is "bacterial SSU rRNA". It matches the Rfam family "Bacterial small subunit ribosomal RNA". The record is from RNAcentral.